Molecule: ribosomal RNA, 395 nt
Filed under: uncultured bacterium
Lineage: Bacteria
Description: partial 16S ribosomal RNA
Rfam family: Bacterial small subunit ribosomal RNA
Source: RNAcentral
CCUACGGGAGGCAGCAGUGAGGAAUAUUGGUCAAUGGGCGGAAGCCUGAACCAGCCACGCCGCGUGAAGGAUGACUGUCCUACGAAUUGUAAACUUCUUUUAUAAAGGAGUAAAAGCAGUCUCGCGUGCCUUUUUGAAUGUACUUUAGGAAUAAGCAUCGGCUAACUCCGUGCCAGCAGCCGCGGUAAUACGGAGGAUACGAGCGUUUUCCGGAUUUAAUGGGUUUAAAGGGUGCGUUGGUUGGUUGUUAAGUUAAUUGUGAAAGAUUGCGGCUCAACCGUAAAAGUGCAAUUGAUACUGGAAGUCUUGAGUACAGCUGAGGUAGGCGGAAUUCGUGGUGUAGCGGUGAAAUGCUUAGAUAUCACGAAGAACUCCGAUUGCGAAGGCAGCUUACU